RNAcentral lists this non-coding RNA (46 nucleotides) under Trichobilharzia regenti. The record is from RNAcentral. Lineage: Eukaryota; Metazoa; Platyhelminthes; Trematoda; Strigeidida; Schistosomatidae.
GUAACACUGAAGAGUCCCAAAUAAGGACGAAACAGCUGUCCGGUAC